AGUGAACGCUGGCGGUAGGCCUAACACAUGCAAGUCGAACGGCAGCACAGGAGAGCUUGCUCUCUGGGUGGCGAGUGGCGGACGGGUGAGGAAUACAUCGGAAUCUACUUUUUCGUGGGGGAUAACGUAGGGAAACUUACGCUAAUACCGCAUACGACCUACGGGUGAAAGCAGGGGAUCUUCGGACCUUGCGCGAUUGAAUGAGCCGAUGUCGGAUUAGCUAGUUGGCGGGGUAAAGGCCCACCAAGGCGACGAUCCGUAGCUGGUCUGAGAGGAUGAUCAGCCACACUGGAACUGAGACACGGUCCAGACUCCUACGGGAGGCAGCAGUGGGGAAUAUUGGACAAUGGGCGCAAGCCUGAUCCAGCCAUACCGCGUGGGUGAAGAAGGCCUUCGGGUUGUAAAGCCCUUUUGUUGGGAAAGAAGUCCAGCUGGUUAAUACCCGGUUGGGAUGACGGUACCCAAAGAAUAAGCCCCGGCUAACUUCGUGCCAGCCGCCGCAGUAA
This 506-nucleotide ribosomal RNA is filed under the name uncultured bacterium. RNAcentral's name for it is "partial 16S ribosomal RNA". It matches the Rfam family "Bacterial small subunit ribosomal RNA", at positions 29 to 523 of the family's 1533-position model. The record is from RNAcentral.